Molecule: transfer RNA, 115 nt
Filed under: Actinacidiphila cocklensis
Lineage: Bacteria; Bacillati; Actinomycetota; Actinomycetes; Kitasatosporales; Streptomycetaceae
Description: tRNA-OTHER
Rfam family: tRNA
About the family: Transfer RNA (tRNA) molecules are approximately 80 nucleotides in length.
Source: RNAcentral
GGUGCCGUGGCAGAGCGGCCCAUUGCGAUCGCCGUGGGCGAGGUCCCUCCUGCGGCGAACUGACGGAGGGGGCGGACCUGCUCCCCUCUCGCGGGUUCGAAUCCCGUCGGCACCG